This 1339-nucleotide unclassified non-coding RNA is filed under the name uncultured Neocallimastigales. Its description in RNAcentral is "partial contains internal transcribed spacer 1, 5.8S ribosomal RNA, internal transcribed spacer 2, and large subunit ribosomal RNA". The stretch from base 595 to 1339 matches the Rfam family "Eukaryotic large subunit ribosomal RNA", at positions 1 to 625 of the family's 3401-position model. Lineage: Eukaryota; Fungi; Neocallimastigomycota; Neocallimastigomycetes; Neocallimastigales. The record is from RNAcentral.
AAAAUAAUCCUACCCUUUGUGAGUUUUGUUUGUUUGAAUAAUUUUUUUUUUAAAAAAUUAUUGGAGUCUUUCCCUUUAGAGUUUGCUUUGAGUUUGUAAAAGAAUUCGAAGACAUCUAAAGGGGAUGGUCAAUAAUUUUUUUUGAAAAAAGACAUUUUUUAAAAUUAAACUUUUUGUAUUCAUUUGUCUAAAAAUUAUUUUUAUAAUAUAAAAACAACUUUUGACAAUGGAUCUCUUGGUUCUCGCAACGAUGAAGAACGCAGCAAAAUGCGAUAAGUAGUGUGAAUUGCAGAAUACGUGAAUCAUCGAAUCUUUGAACGCAUAUUGCACUUUUUUAGUUUACUAAAAAAGUAUGUCUGUUUGAGUAUCAGUAAAAUAUUCUCAUAAAAAUCAUUGUGUAUUUUUAUGGUUAUGAGUGUUUUACAACGAUACAAGUUGUUUCACUUUAAAUUUUUUUUUAAUAUUGAAAUUUUUCUGAUUUUAAUAAUUAAAAUUGGAUAAAAUUUUCCCGUCAAAAGGAAUAACCUAAACAAUUUUAAACGAUUAAUUUUAGCAAAAUUUUCGUAAAAAAGGAAAAUUUUUAUUAAAAUAACUUGAUCUCAAAUCAGAUAAGAGUACCCGCUGAACUUAAGCAUAUCAAUAAGCGGAGGAAAAGAAACUAACAAGGAUUCCCUUAGUAACGGCGAGUGAAGCGGGAAGAGCCCAAAUUUGAAAUCUUCAAGGUUUUACCUUGACGAAUUGUAGUUUAAAGAAGUGUUUUCUGCUGAAGUUUUGGUAAAAGUUCUUUGGAAUAGGACAUCAUAGAGGGUGAGAAUCCCGUAUUUGACCGUUAUUUUCAGCUUUGUGAUACACUUUCAAAGAGUCGGAUUGUUUGGGAAUGCAGUCCAAAAUGGGUGGUAAAUUUCAUCUAAAGCUAAAUAUUGGCGAGAGACCGAUAGCGAACAAGUACCGUGAGGGAAAGAUGAAAAGAACUUUGAAAAGAGAGUUAAACAGUACGUGAAAUUGUCAAAAGGGAAGCGUUUGACACCAGUGUUGUUUUCUCGAAAAUCAAUUAAAAAUGGCUCGAUUUUGUAAUGCUUGAGACCUUAAAAGCUCACUGUACAUUUUUCGUGUCUUUUUUAAUGCACUUUUCGUUUAACAAGUCAACAUCAGUUUCUUUUGUUGUAAAAGGGUCAUUGGAAGGUGGCUUUCUUUUCGGAGAAAGUGUUUAUAGCCUUUGGCCUCUGCAAUCGAAGAGACUGAGGUCUGCAGCGUAGACUCUUCGGGGUUAGAUACAUUUGUGCUAAGUUAUAGCUUUUUAUAGACAACUUGUUGACUAUAAUUAGUCUUGUAGCUUACU